GUCUCAGUAGCGUAGUGGUUAGCGCACGGUCCCGGUCAGGCGCAAGACGCGGGUUCGAACCCCGCCUGAGACG
This 73-nucleotide transfer RNA is filed under the name Nippostrongylus brasiliensis. It matches the Rfam family "tRNA". Rfam says of the family: Transfer RNA (tRNA) molecules are approximately 80 nucleotides in length. Their secondary structure includes four short double-helical elements and three loops (D, anti-codon, and T loops). The record is from Rfam by way of RNAcentral. Lineage: Eukaryota; Metazoa; Nematoda; Chromadorea; Rhabditida; Heligmosomidae.